RNAcentral lists this non-coding RNA (899 nucleotides) under Pongo abelii (Sumatran orangutan). Lineage: Eukaryota; Metazoa; Chordata; Mammalia; Primates; Hominidae. The record is from RNAcentral.
CUUAAAGUGAAAAAAAAAAGACACCCCCACCUUUACCCUACUUGAUUUCCAGGUCCUUUUCCUCCAAGAAUAUUUCUAGCUGCUUCUGGUUUUGCUAGUUUAUUUCAAAAAUUACAAUUGUUUGAGUCAAAUCUAUACUUGAUGUUCAUUGUUGGGUUUCUUUAGGUCAUUCUGCUGUUCUGUUCUCUCAGUUUCCCAGGUGUUUUGUGUGUCUUCCUUGUGCUAUUAAUUUUCCUGUGGCCUUGUUGGUCAGAUCCACAGAGGUAAAUGCAAGUGUUUUUCCUUGCUUCAGAACAUGUGCUGUAAUCACUACAUCUUCUCCUAAUUUUGCAGGUGACAUGUACCUUGAAAGAAAAUGAAUAUAGUUAACAGCAAAUAAUUUUUCAAAGGGAAAGUUGUGUGCAUCUCACAACAGUGUUCCUAUGUAAUUUAUUUUACUCCUAAAAAUAGUUUAACAGUAGUAUUGGUAAGCUUUCUGUACUAUCAAAUGUGAAUGGCUGGUCCUAACCAGCUUCUAUCUUACCCAUUCCUUACCCACACAAAUUUCUUUUCCCAAAUAUAUGAGAAGAGGUUUUCUUGCCUCCCCUUUUUUCCCUUUACGUUUCCCACUUCAUAUUUAUUUGGGGCUGGUGAAAGAUUUCCUCCAGCUUUCAUUUAAUCUCCUUAACUUCUUAAAUGAAAUAUCACUUGGUGUCUAUAUAUUGUCCUAUCCAUAUUUACAAUUUAUUUGACUCUAAAAUGACAAUAUAACAACUAUAAGGAAUUGAUAUGAUGUCCUUACAGUCUUGAUGAUGGACUGUCUAUAUUUUGAAGAGAUGUAUAUCCUACUCACUUGUAAUCAUAAGUUGUCUUUAACUCAGCUGGCUCCAGCUAAUUAAAAAAAAAAAAAACUGGGGAGA